This 188-nucleotide transfer-messenger RNA is filed under the name Comamonadaceae bacterium CG2_30_57_122. RNAcentral describes it as "partial transfer-messenger RNA". It matches the Rfam family "transfer-messenger RNA", at positions 181 to 374 of the family's 374-position model. From Rfam's summary of the family: Bacterial tmRNA, also known as 10Sa RNA or SsrA, is named for its dual tRNA and mRNA-like properties. Its role is to liberate the mRNA from a stalled ribosome. To accomplish this part of the tmRNA is used as a reading frame that ends in a translation stop signal. Lineage: Bacteria; Pseudomonadati; Pseudomonadota; Betaproteobacteria; Burkholderiales; Comamonadaceae. The record is from RNAcentral.
UGGGGUAAUUUCAUUCGGCUGGGGUCGCCUUGGGUAACUUAGGGCGAUUCGAGAAAAUAGGUUGCUGGCGAUUUGCAUAGCGUGCCACUGCGCGAUGUGAAAAGCGAGAUUUAAAUCAGACGGCUACACAUGUAGAACUGUUCGAAGAAGGUUUGCGGACGCGGGUUCAAAUCCCGCCAGCUCCACCA